This 65-nucleotide transfer RNA is filed under the name Dipodomys ordii (Ord's kangaroo rat). It matches the Rfam family "tRNA". Rfam says of the family: Transfer RNA (tRNA) molecules are approximately 80 nucleotides in length. Lineage: Eukaryota; Metazoa; Chordata; Mammalia; Rodentia; Heteromyidae. The record is from Rfam by way of RNAcentral.
GGUGACUAAGUGGUAGAGUGCUUGCCUCUGAUGCAUGAAGCCCUGGGUGCAAUUCCCCAGCACCA